GGAGGAAAGUAGGGGAUCGCAAGACCUUGCGCUUUUGGAGCGGCCGAUGCCUGAUUAGCUAGUUGGUGAGGUAAACGCUUACCAAGGCUUCGAUCAGUAGCUGGUCUGAGAGGACGACCAGCCACACUGGGACUGAGACACGGCCCAGACUCCUACGGGAGGCAGCAGUGGGGAAUUUUGGACAAUGGGGGAAACCCUGAUCCAGCCAUGCCGCGUGAGUGAAGAAGGCCUUCGGGUUGUAAAGCUCUUUCAGCCGGAACGAAACGGUCACGGCUAAUACCUGUGAUCACUGACGGUACCGGAAGAAGAAGCACCGGCUAACUACGUGCCAGCAGCCGCGGUAAUACGUAGGGUGCAAGCGUUAAUCGGAAUUACUGGGCGUAAAGCGUGCGCAGGCGGUUUUGUAAGUCAGAUGUGAAAUCCCCGGGCUUAACCUGGGAACUGCGUUUGAAACUACAAAGCUAG
Molecule: ribosomal RNA, 465 nt
Filed under: uncultured ammonia-oxidizing bacterium
Lineage: Bacteria
Description: bacterial SSU rRNA
Rfam family: Bacterial small subunit ribosomal RNA
Source: RNAcentral